GGAGACUGCAAGGCUAGAAUCUGGCAGAGGGGGUCCACGUGUAGCAGUGAAAUGCGUAGAUAUGUGGAGGAAUACCGAUGGCGAAGGCAGCCCCCUGGGUCAAGAUUGACGCUCAUGCACGAAAGCGUGGGGAGCAAACAGGAUUAGAUACCCGGGUAGUCCACGCCCUAAACGAUGUCUACUAGUUGUCGGGUCUUAAUUGACUUGGUAACGCAGCUAACGCGUGAAGUAGACCGCCUGGGGAGUACGGUCGCAAGAUUAAAACACAAAGGAAUUGACGGGGACCCGCACAAGCGGUGGAUGAUGUGGAUUAAUUCGAUGCAACGCGAAUAACCUUUCCUACCCUUGACAUGGCUGGAAUCCCCGAGAGAUUGGGGAGUGCUCGAAAGAAAACCAGUACACAGGUGCUGCAUGGCUGUCGUCAGCUCGUGUCGUGAGAUGUUCGGUUAAGUCCCGC
Molecule: ribosomal RNA, 457 nt
Filed under: uncultured bacterium
Lineage: Bacteria
Description: bacterial SSU rRNA
Rfam family: Bacterial small subunit ribosomal RNA
Source: RNAcentral